Tupaia belangeri (northern tree shrew) is the source of this 107-nucleotide small nuclear RNA. Lineage: Eukaryota; Metazoa; Chordata; Mammalia; Scandentia; Tupaiidae. The record is from Ensembl.
GUGCUCACUUCAACAGCACAUAUACUAAAAUUGGAACCAUGCAGAGAAGAUUAGCAUGGCUCCUGCACAAGGAUGACAUACACAUUUCUGAAGUGUUUAAUUUUUUU